UACGAAGGGGGUUAGCGUUGCUCGGAAUCACUGGGCGUAAAGCGCACGUAGGCGGAUUGCUAAGUCAGGGGUGAAAUCCUGGAGCUCAACUCCAGAACUGCCUUUGAUACUGGCGACCUUGAGUCCGGGAGAGGUGAGUGGAACUGCGAGUGUAGAGGUGAAAUUCGUAGAUAUUCGCAAGAACACCAGUGGCGAAGGCGGCUCACUGGCCCGGUACUGACGCUGAGGUGCGAAAGCGUGGGGAGCAAACAGG
RNAcentral lists this ribosomal RNA (253 nucleotides) under uncultured bacterium. RNAcentral describes it as "partial 16S ribosomal RNA". It matches the Rfam family "Bacterial small subunit ribosomal RNA", at positions 524 to 776 of the family's 1533-position model. The record is from RNAcentral.